This 391-nucleotide long non-coding RNA is filed under the name Brassica rapa (field mustard). Its description in RNAcentral is "long non-coding RNA (BRAP_LNC004098)". Lineage: Eukaryota; Viridiplantae; Streptophyta; Magnoliopsida; Brassicales; Brassicaceae. The record is from RNAcentral.
UGGUUAGGUAAAUAAUUAAUGAUGUUUUUGUCUAGAAAAUAUAAGAAAUUAAUGGUUUUCUUAAUCUACGUGUAUAGCUGUAAAACGACUUAUAUUAAAAAACGGAGGGAGUAUACUUUAUAAAGUGAAUCCACUCUCUCGUAAGUCGUAGCUAAUAAGCAUACUUUCAACUGAGUUACAAUUUCUUAAAAUUAUAGUACAUGAGGAACUUAUAUUUGAUGCUACAAAAGGACGUUCAUAUGACCUAGAAUUAUGUUUCAAAAUACUUUUCCUCGGUUUCAGAAUUUGUACUUUACACUCAUAUUAACCUUUUCGAAACACUGGUUUUAAUUUUUCUUUUAUUUUUCCGAAAUCCUAUUUACAUAAGUUUCGAGAUACUGCGAUGAUGAAG